GUCUACAGCCAUGCCAAACUUAUCAGAUCUCAGAAGCUAAGCAGGGUGGGGGCCUGGUUAGUACUCGGAUGGGAGACCACCUAGGAAUACCAGGAGCUAUAGGCG
RNAcentral lists this ribosomal RNA (105 nucleotides) under Pteropus alecto (black flying fox). The record is from RNAcentral. Lineage: Eukaryota; Metazoa; Chordata; Mammalia; Chiroptera; Pteropodidae.